GGUGGUUUUAGUACGUAGGCGCCUUUGAUGGCAAAGCGUGCAUGCUGCUGGUGCUGGCCCGUAGUGCCUUUUGAAGAUUACUACC
Non-coding RNA from Glossina palpalis gambiensis, 85 nucleotides. The record is from Rfam. Lineage: Eukaryota; Metazoa; Arthropoda; Insecta; Diptera; Glossinidae.